RNAcentral lists this ribosomal RNA (440 nucleotides) under uncultured bacterium. RNAcentral describes it as "partial 16S ribosomal RNA". It matches the Rfam family "Bacterial small subunit ribosomal RNA", at positions 338 to 795 of the family's 1533-position model. The record is from RNAcentral.
CCUACGGGGAGCAGCAGUGGGGGAUAUUGCACAAUGGAGGGAACUCUGAUGCAGCGACGCCGCGUGAGGGAAGAAGGUUUUCGGAUUGUAAACCUCUGUCUUCGGUGACGAAACGAGACGGUAGCAGAGGAGGAAGCUACGGCUAAAUACGGGCCAGAAGCCGCGGCAAUACGUGGGUGGGAAGCGUUGUCCGGAUUUACUGGGUGAAAGGGGAGCGUAGGCGGGAAAGCAAGUUGAAUGUUUAAGGUACGGGCUCACCCGGUACAAGCGUUCAAGACUGUGUUUCUUGAGUGGAGUAGAGGUGAGCGGAAGUCCGAGUGUAGCGGUGAAAUGCGUAAAUAUUAGGAGGAACACCAGUGGCGAAGGCGGCUUACUGGUCUUUAACUGACGCUGAGGUUCGAAAGCGUGGGUAGCAAACAGGAUUAGAUACCCUAGUAGUC